AAAUUGAAGAGUUUGAUCAUGGCUCAGAUUGAACGCUGGCGGCAGGCCUAACACAUGCAAGUCGAACGGUAGCACAGAGAGCUUGCUCUCGGGUGACGAGUGGCGGACGGGUGAGUAAUGUCUGGGAAACUGCCUGAUGGAGGGGGAUAACUACUGGAAACGGUGGCUAAUACCGCAUAACGUCGAAAGACCAAAGAGGGGGACCUUCGGGCCUCUUGCCAUCAGAUGUGCCCAGAUGGGAUUAGCUAGUUGGUGAGGUAACGGCUCACCAAGGCGACGAUCCCUAGCUGGUCUGAGAGGAUGACCAGCCACACUGGAACUGAGACACGGUCCAGACUCCUACGGGAGGCAGCAGUGGGGAAUAUUGCACAAUGGGCGCAAGCCUGAUGCAGCCAUGCCGCGUGUAUGAAGAAGGCCUUCGGGUUGUAAAGUACUUUCAGCGGGGAGGAAGGUGUUGUGGUUAAUAACCGCAGCAAUUGACGUUACCCGCAGAAGAAGCACCGGCUAACUCCGUGCCAGCAGCCGCGGUAAUACGGAGGGUGCAAGCGUUAAUCGGAAUUACUGGGCGUAAAGCGCACGCAGGCGGUCUGUCAAGUCGGAUGUGAAAUCCCCGGGCUCAACCUGGGAACUGCAUUCGAAACUGGCAGGCUUGAGUCUUGUAGAGGGGGGUAGAAUUCCAGGUGUAGCGGUGAAAUGCGUAGAGAUCUGGAGGAAUACCGGUGGCGAAGGCGGCCCCCUGGACAAAGACUGACGCUCAGGUGCGAAAGCGUGGGGAGCAAACAGGAUUAGAUACCCUGGUAGUCCACGCCGUAAACGAUGUCUACUUGGAGGUUGUGCCCUUGAGGCGUGGCUUCCGGAGCUAACGCGUUAAGUAGACCGCCUGGGGAGUACGGCCGCAAGGUUAAAACUCAAAUGAAUUGACGGGGGCCCGCACAAGCGGUGGAGCAUGUGGUUUAAUUCGAUGCAACGCGAAGAACCUUACCUGGUCUUGACAUCCACAGAAGAAUCCAGAGAUGGAUUUGUGCCUUCGGGAACUGUGAGACAGGUGCUGCAUGGCUGUCGUCAGCUCGUGUUGUGAAAUGUUGGGUUAAGUCCCGCAACGAGCGCAACCCUUAUCCUUUGUUGCCAGCGGUUAGG
RNAcentral lists this ribosomal RNA (1137 nucleotides) under Salmonella enterica subsp. enterica. RNAcentral's name for it is "bacterial SSU rRNA". It matches the Rfam family "Bacterial small subunit ribosomal RNA", at positions 1 to 1129 of the family's 1533-position model. Lineage: Bacteria; Pseudomonadati; Pseudomonadota; Gammaproteobacteria; Enterobacterales; Enterobacteriaceae. The record is from RNAcentral. RNAcentral also lists the same sequence under 1 other name.